UUUUUAUGAGAGUUUGAUCCUGGCUCAGGACGAACGCUGGCGGCGUGCCUAAUACAUGCAAGUCGAACGCAUUUUCUUUCACCGUAGCUUGCUACACCGGAA
Molecule: ribosomal RNA, 102 nt
Filed under: Enterococcus cecorum
Lineage: Bacteria; Bacillati; Bacillota; Bacilli; Lactobacillales; Enterococcaceae
Description: partial 16S ribosomal RNA
Rfam family: Bacterial small subunit ribosomal RNA
Source: RNAcentral